UAAGCGUGUGAUGAAAUCUUAGGGCUCAACCUUGAGACUAUUACAUGAACUGGCAAACUAGAGCAUAUGAGGGGUACUUGGAAUUUUUAGUGUAGGAGUGAAAUCCGUAGAUAUUAAAGGAACACCAAUGGCGUAGGCAGAGUACUGGCAUAUUGCUGACACUGAGGCACGAAAGCGUGGGAGCGAACGGGAUUAGAUACCCCGGUAGUCCACGCCGUAAACGAUGGAUGCUA
RNAcentral lists this ribosomal RNA (233 nucleotides) under uncultured Candidatus Saccharibacteria bacterium. RNAcentral's name for it is "partial 16S ribosomal RNA". It matches the Rfam family "Bacterial small subunit ribosomal RNA", at positions 584 to 818 of the family's 1533-position model. The record is from RNAcentral. Lineage: Bacteria; Candidatus Saccharimonadota.